GAUGAACGCUGGCGGCGCGCCUAACACAUGCAAGUCGAACGGUUAAAGCACCUUUUAGGUGUGUAUAAAGUGGCGAACGGCUGAGUAACACGUGGGCAACCUGCCCUCCUCUUGGGGAUAGCCUCGGGAAACCGAGGAUAAUACCCGAUACUUCAAUGUGGCCGCAUGACGACAUUGAGAAAGCUUUUGCGGAGAAGGAUGGGCCCGCGGCCUGUUAGCUUGUUGGUGGGGUAGAGGCCUACCAAGGCAAUGAUGGGUAGCUGGGCUGAGAGACCGACCAGCCAGAUUGGGACUGAGACACGGCCCAGACUCCUACGGGAGGCAGCAGUGGGGAAUCUUGCACAAUGGGCGCAAGCCUGAUGCAGCGACGCCGCGUGCGGGACGAAGGCCUUCGGGUUGUAAACCGCUUUCAGCAGGGACGAGGCGAUAAGUGACGGUACCUGCAGAAGAAGCCCCGGCUAACUACGUG
RNAcentral lists this ribosomal RNA (469 nucleotides) under uncultured bacterium. RNAcentral's name for it is "partial 16S ribosomal RNA". It matches the Rfam family "Bacterial small subunit ribosomal RNA", at positions 28 to 507 of the family's 1533-position model. The record is from RNAcentral.